RNAcentral lists this non-coding RNA (86 nucleotides) under Vibrio hepatarius. Its description in RNAcentral is "c-di-GMP sequence". It matches the Rfam family "c-di-GMP-I riboswitch aptamer". Rfam says of the family: GEMM was predicted in a large-scale screen for bacterial structured RNA regulatory elements. Genes associated with GEMM are involved in a diverse array of functions, including chemotaxis regulation, signal transduction, secretion and chitin. Lineage: Bacteria; Pseudomonadati; Pseudomonadota; Gammaproteobacteria; Vibrionales; Vibrionaceae. The record is from RNAcentral.
CCACGCACAGGGCAAACUAUUUCGAAAGGAUAGGACGCAAAGCCUCCGGCCUAAGUAUGCAUAUACAUGGUAGCGGGGUUGCCGAU